GUUCAACACCUGCCUAUAAGUGAUAACAUUCGGUGUUUGGUUUUCUGUUCUUGUGUCAGUUUGCUGAAAAUUAUGGUUUCCGUAUUCAUCCAUGUCCCUAUGAAGGACAUGAACUUAUCAUUUUUAUGGCUGUGUAGCAUUCCAUGGUGUAUAUGUGCCAUAUUUUCUUUAUCCAGUCUAUCAUUGAUGGGCAUUUGGGUUGGUUCCAGGUCUUUAGUAUUGUAAACAGUGCCGAAAUGGACAUAGGUGUGCAUGUGUCUUUAAAAUAGAACAAUUUAUAAUUCUUUGGAUAUAUACCCAGUAAUGGGAUUGCUGGAUCAUAUGAUAUUUCUGUUUCUAGUUCCUUGAGGAAUCACCACACUGUCUUCCAUAUGGUUGAACUAAUUUACACUCCCACCAGCAGUGUAAAAGUGUUCCUAUUUCUCCCCAUCCUCUCCAGCAUCUGUUGUCUCCAGAUUUUUUAAUGACUGCCAUUCUAACUGGAGUGAGAUGGUAUCUCGAUGUGGUUUUGAUUUGCAUUUCUCUAAUAACCAGUGAUGAUGAGCAUUUUCCCAUAUGUUUGUUGGCUUCAUAUAUUGUCUUCUUUUGUAAGUGUCUAUUCAUAUCCUUUGCCCACUUUUGAGUGGGUUUUUUUGUGUGUGUGUGUAAAUCUGUUUUAGUUCUUUGUAGAUUCUGAAUAUUAGCCCUUUGUCAGAUGGGGAGAUUGCAAAAAUUUUUCCCAUUCUGUUGGUUGCCGGUUCUCUCUAAUGAUUGUUUCUUUUUUGCUGUACAGAAGCUCUGGAGUUUAAUUAGAUCCCAUUUGUGUAUUUUGGCUUUUGUUUCCAUUGCUUUUGGUGUUUUAGCCAUGAAAUCCUUGCCUAUGCCUAUGUCCUGAAUGGUUUUGCCUAGGUUUUCUUCUAGGGUGUUUUAUGCUGUUAGGUCUUAUGUUUAGAUCUUUAAUCCAUCUGUAGUUAGUUUUAGUGUAAGGUCUCAGGAAGGGCUCAUUUCUGCUUUUUGCCCAUGGCUAGCUAGUUUUCCCAACACUAUUUAUUAAACAGGGAAUGCGUUCCCCAUUGCUUGUUUUUCUCAGGUUUGUCAAAGAUCAGAUGAUUGUAGAUGUGUGGUGUUGCUUCUGAGGCCUCUGUUCUGUUUCAUUGGUCUAUGUCUGUUUUGGUACCAGUACCAUGCUGUUUUGAUUACUGUGUCCUCGUAUAGUUUGAAGUCAGGCACCAUGAUGCCUCCAGCUUUGUUCUUUUUGCUUAGGAUUGUGUUGGCUGUGUGGGCUCUCGUUUGGGUCCAUAUGAAAUCUAAAGUGGUUUUUUCCAAUUCCGUGAAGAAGGUCACUGGUAGCUUGAUCAGGACAGCAUUGAAUCUGUAAAUUACUCUGGGCAGUAUGGCCAUUUUCAUGAUGUUGAUUCUUCCCAACCAUGAGCAUGGGAUGUUUUUCCAUCUGUUUGUGUUUUCUCUCAUUUCACUGAGCAGUGGUUUGUAGUUCUCCUUGAAGAGUCCUUCACAUCCUUUGUUAGGUGUAUUCCUAGGUAUUUUAUUCUCUUUGUAGCAAUUGUGAAUGGGAGUUCACUUUGGAUUUGGCUCUCUGUUUGUCUGUUAUUAGUGUAUAGAAAUACUUGUGAUUUCUGCACAUUGGUUUUGUAUCCUGAGACUUUGCUGAAUUUGCUUAUUCAGUUUCAGAAGAUUUUGGGCUGAGAUAAUGGGGUCUUCUAAAUAUACAAUCAUGUUAUCUGCAAAUAGAGACAAUUUCACUUACACUUUUCCUAAUUGAAUGUUCUUUAUUUCUGUUUCUUGCAUGAUUGCUCUGGUUAGAACUUUCAUACCAUAUUGAAUAGGAGUGGUGAGAGAGGGCAUCCUUGUCUUGUGCCAGUUUUCAAAGGGAAUGCUUCCAGUUUUUGACCAUUCAGUAUCAUAUUGGCUGUGGGUUUGUCAUAAAUAACUUUUAUUAUUUUGUGAUACGUACCAUUGAUACCUAGUUUAUUGAGGGUUUUUAGCAUAAAGGGCUGUUGAAUUUUGUCGAAGGCCUUCUCUGCAUCUAUUGAGAUAAUCAUGUGGUUUUUGUCUUUGGUUCUGUUUAUGUGAUGGAUUACGUUUAUAGACUUGUGUAUGUUGAACAAGCCUCGCAUCCCUGGGAUAAAGCCUACUUGAUCCGGAUGAAUAAGCUUUUUGGUAUGCUGUUGCAUUCUGUUUGCCAGUAUUUCAUUGAAGAUUUUUGCAUCGAUGUUUAUAAUGAAUAUUGGCCUGAAGUUUUCUUUUUUAGUUGCCCCUCUGCCCGGUUUUGGUAUUAGGUGAUGUUGGUCUGAUAAAACGAGUUGGAGAGGAUUCCCUCUGUUUGUAUUGUUUGGAAUAGGUUCAGAAGGAAUGGUAACAGCUCCUCUUUGUACAUCUGGUAGAAAUCGGCUGUAAAUCCGUCUGGACCUGGGCUCUUUUUAGUGGGUAGGCUAUUAAUUACUGCCUCAACUUCAGCCUUUGUUAUUGGUCUAUUCAGGGAUUCAACUUCUUCCUGGUUUAGUCUUGGGAGAGUGCAAGUGUCCAGGAAUUUAUCUACUUCUUCCAGAUUUACUGGUUUGUGUGCACAGAGUUGUGUGUACUAAUCUCUGAUGGUAGUAUGUAUUUCUAUGGAAUUGGUGGUGAUCUCCCCUUUAUCAUUUUUUAUUGCAUCUAUUUAAUUCUACUCUCUUUUCUUUUUUAUUAGUCUGACUAGUGGUCUACCUAUUUUGUUGAUCUUUUCAAAAAACCAGGUCCUGAAUUUGUUGAUUUUUUUGAAGGGUGUUUUGUAUCUCGAGCUCCUUCAGUUCUGCCCUGACCUUGGUUAUUUAUUGUCUUCUGCUAAUUGACAGAAGACAAUUAGCUUUUGCAUUUGUUGGAUCUUGCUCCCUUUCAAUUUUCAUGCUAGGAUGUUAAUUUUUGACCUUUGUUUGCUCCUCAUGUGGGCUUUUAUUGCUAUGAAUUCCCCUCUAGACACUGCUUUAAAUGUGUCCCAGAGAUUCUGGUACAUUGUGUCUUCAUUGUCAUUGGUUUCAAAGAGCAUCUUUAUUUCUGCCUUCAUUUAUUAUUUAUCUAGUCUGCGUUUAGAAGCCAGUUGUUCAUUUUCCAUGAAGUUGUGCAGUUUUGGUUUCUGAAUCCUGAGUUCUAACUGGAUUGCACUGUGGUCUGAGAGACUGUUAUGAUUUCUGUUCUUUUGCAUUUGCUGAGGAGUGAUUUACUUCCAAUUAUGUGGUCAAUUUUAGAGUAAGUGUGAUGCUGUGCUGAGAAGAAUGUAUAUUCUGUGAAUUUGGGAUUAAUAGUUUUGUAAAUGUCUAUUAAGUUUGCUUCGUCCAGAUCUGCAUUCAGGUCCUGGAUUUCCUCGUUCAUUUUCUAUCUGGUUUAUCUGUUUAAUAUUGACCGUGGAGUGUUGAAGUCUCCCACUAUUAUUGUGCAGGAGUCUAAGUCUUUUUGUAGGUCAUUAAGGACUUGCUUUAUGUAUCUAGGUGCUCCUGUAUUGGGUUUGUGUCUAUUUAUGAUUGUUAGUUCUUCUUGUUCUAUUUAUCCUUUUUACCAUUAUGUAAUGCCCUUCCUUGUCUCUCUUGAUUUUUGUUGGUUUAAAGUCCAUUUUAUCAGAGACUAGGAUUGCCACCCCUGCUUUUUCUUUGUUCUCCAUUUGCUUGGUAAAUCUUCCAUCCCUUUAUUUUUAGUCUACUUGUGUCUGUGCACAUGAGAUGGGUCUCCUAAAUACAGCACACCAGUGGUUCUUGGCUUUUUAUCCAAUUUGCCAGUCUGUGUCUUUUGAUUGAGGCAUUUAGCCCAUUUACAUUUGGUGUUAAUAUUGUUGUGUGUGGAUUUGAUCCUGCCAUUUUAUUACUGGUUGGUUGUUUUGCUCUUUGGUUGGCAUAGUUUUUUCAUUGCAUCAUUGGUCUUUAUUACUUGGUUCUUUUUUGCAGUGGCAGGUACUGGUUUUUCCUUUCUGUGUUUGGUGCUUCCUUCAGGAGCUCUUGAAGGGCAGGUCUGGUAGUAACAAAAUCUCUCAGCAAUUGCUUGUCUGUAAAGCAUUUCAUUUCUCCAUCACUUAUGAAGCUUAGUUUGGCUGGACAUGAAAUUCUGGGUUGAAAGUUCUUUUCUUUAAGGAUGUUGAAUAUUGGCCCCACUUGCUCCUGGCUUGUAGGGUUUCUGCCGAGAGAUCUGCUGUGAGUCUGAUGUGCUUCCCUUUAUGGGUGACUUGACGUUUCUCUCUGGCUGCCCUUAGUAUUUUUUCAUUCAUUUCAACUCUGGCGAACCGGACAAUUAUGUGCCUUGGAGUUGCUCUUCUAGAGGAGUAUCAUUGUGGUGUUAUCUAUAUUUCCUGUGUUUGAAUAUUGGCCUGCCUUGCUGGGUUGGGGAAGUUCUCCUGCAUAGUAUUCUGAAGAGUGUUUUCCAGCUUGGACUCAUUCUCCCUGUCAUCUUCCAGUGCCCCAAUCAUGCGUAGGUCUUUUCAUGUAAUCCAAUAUUUCUUGAACGCUUUGUUCAUUUCUUUUCACUCUUUGUUCUCUUUUCUUGCCUUCUCAUUUUAUUUUAUUGAGUUGAUCUUCAAUCUCUGAUACCCUUUCUUCUGCUUGAUCUAUUAGGAUAUUGAAACUUGUGUAUGCUUCAUGAAGUUCUUGUGCUGUGUCUUUCAGCUCCAUCAAGUCGUUUAUGUUCAUCUCUAAGCUAGUUAUUCUAGUUUUUCAUCUAACCUUUUUCAUGGUUUUUAGAUAGAACAUGUUCCUUUAAGUCAGGGAAGUUUGUUAUUACCCAACUUCUGAAGCCGCCUUCUGUCAGUUUGUCAAAUUCAUUCUCCAUCCAGCUUUGUUCCCUUGUUGGUGAGGAGUCAUUAUCUCAUGGUGGGGGAGAGAUGUUCUGGUUUUUUUGAUGGUUUCAUUCUUCUUGCUCUGGUCUCUCCCCAUUUCUUGGAUUCAUAUGGUUUUGAUCUCAGGUAGCUGCUUGGUGGGGCCGCCUUUCCUUUGCCUGCAGAGGUGCUUCUGGGCUGCCACAGAUUCAGUGGAGCUGCUGCAUUUUUUAUUUACUCAGGAAAAUUAGGCUGGCUUCUGCAGUGGCGGCUUCCCUUCCACCCACUGAACUGGAUUGCUCCUGGUCACUCUCUGGUGUUCUGGGUGCCUAACUCUGGAGUGAGAGUUUUUUGGCCUGCUGGGCCUUGUGUGGUGGGGGGAACCAUCCUGUCAUUUGGGCUGUUUCCCUGCAUUCCAUUCUCCUUCUUACUAGGGGGGGCAGCUAGCUCCAUCCCACUGGCUUUUUAGCUCUCUCAGCAUCAGCCAGUGCUUCUGCCUAGAUCUAUGCUGAAAGCCCCGGCACCCCAAAGUUGCUGUUCUGCCCUGUUCAGGCAGCUCACUAAGGCUUUUAAGCUCAGUGAAGAUCUCCUGUUCUGUGGGUUGUAGAGGGCUUGGGUAGAGCACUGUAUCUGAACCGAAGUCCCAAAGGGGGAGAUCCCCCAGUCUUGGAGAUUGCUGAACUACAUAGAUCUGUAGCCCAGGGCAGAUGCCUCCUCACCGCUGCUUCUUUUCAUAAUUCACUGAUGGCCUUCCGAUGUUCAUGUAGACUGGGUGAGGGGCAUGAUUGACUGGCCAAUCGGUCAUGAAGUUCAGUUGGGUAAUUGGAGGUGUGUCUAUGCUGGGGCAGUUGAUGGAGACUCCAGUUAGCUUGUUAUUCAGGAGCAGGGAUGUAGAGAGCUACUCCUGGUCAUCUGAGGCCAUCCUUUCAGGAAUCUGUGCUUUCAUAGAUUGAAGAUUUGAAGAUUGGAGACUGCCAUGGAGCCCUGCACAAGUGGAAUCUGGAAGGCCAUAGGAAGAAAGAUAUUUAGAUAGUACUUAAGGAAAUAGAGGUACAACUACCAGGACUCUGUUUUUUCAGCAGUCUUUCUUCUUGUAUAUCUGAGUGCCUAUGAAGGUUUUUUUUUUUUUUUUGAGAGGGAGUCUCGCUCCGUCACCCAGGCUGGAGUGCAGUCGCAUGAUCUCAGCUCAUCACAACCUCCGCCUCCAGGGCUCAAGCAAUUCUCCUGCCUUAGCCUCCCUAGUAGCUGAAAAUACAGGUGUUUGUCACCACACCUGGCUAAUGUUUGCAUUAUUAGUGGGGAAAGGGUUUCACCAUGUUGGCCAGGCUGGUCUUGAGCUCCUGAUCUCAAGUGAUCUGCUCACCUCGGCCUCCCAAAGAGCUGGGAUUUUAGGUGUGAGCCACUGCACCCGGCCCUACCUGUGGAAGAUUUAAGGGCUUCCUAGCUAAUGUGCACAUGAAAAAGGUAGGACAUAUAAAGCAUAAUUGAAUUUUUAUUACCACUAAUGUGUUAAUCUUUCUGGGAAGAGUAUUCUCAAAGAGAACAUACAACUUUAUUAUUAGACCUUUGUGUGCUUAGCAUUCACACAUUUCAAAUAUUGCAGGUGAUUCCCUGGACUGUUUUGGGACAAAGAAAAGCAAUGGGACCUUCUUAAGUGGUUUCUGUGCUGAGGAAUAAGACUGCCAAUUUGAAGUGACACAGUUUAGUCUUUUAACCAGAGAUAGAUAAUGGACAAGAGACAGUGGAUCUUUCUACCUUGUUUUAGGUCAUCAGGUUUCUUCCAGUUUAGGUAAUAAAAGUUACGUCAUUUAUUAGUUGAAUUUUAAGUACAAAUUCAGGAUAGAUACUUUGUCAGGGUAAAUUAUCAUCGGGCUCUGGUAUAUAUUGGCUGUAACUAUUUGCAGCUCAAGGUCAGUUUUUAUUGAAUAUUGUGUAUAUUCAGACAGGUAGAGGAAGAAAUAGGUAACCAAAAUAUAUUUUUAGAACAGAGGCCAUAUCUUAAUUAUAUCAAGAAACAUUAUUUAAUGUACAGAUGGCUGACCUUUACCCAGAUUGUGUUUUUGUUUUUUGGAGGGAUGUCGGGGUCCGGCACGUCUGCCGGGGGACUACCGACCCGCGGGAGUCCCCGAGACCGCCAACGUAGAUGUCUCGUUCAACCUGAGAGAGAGAGUGCGCGGAAAAGAAAGAACAUAGAAAAGUAGAGUCUGGAGGGCUGCGUGAAGAUUAUGGCCAAAACGCAGCAAAUUUAUUUUUGUGGGUUACAGCUUUUAUACCUUUUGUCUUGUUUACAUUUACCUCAUCUCAGCAGAAAGAAACAAAGGGGAAAACAGAAAGGAAACAAACUCCAUAAAAUAGAUAUCCGGGGCUUGUGAUAUCCUGCUCAGGAAGCAGUUUAAGGGGGCUAGUGGUAGCAGUUUACAUUUCAAUGAUUUUACAUUCCAAAGAUACAAUGGCGCCCUUAAGGUGGCUGGUUAAACCUGUUUUUCAUCAGGAGCUAAAACAAAGGCUUGGCUCCAGGAAAAUAUGGGCAGAGGUCUCUGCUCCUCUUAGACAUUUCAAUUGCAGCAAGUUUAUUGCUUACACAGAAACUGAAAGGGGACAUGGAAGCAGACAGCACAAUGUCCUCAUAAACUGCAGGCCUUUGCUUUGCAUUCUGUUGUUGCUUUUAGUGAGUCAGCUUACGGCCCUGUCUCACUCGACAGCCCUCGAGGUGAGGAAAUGCAGUACAGGUCCAGCAGCCAAACUGGGACGAGUCAACUAACUGUCUCGAGCUUUUGGCACGAACACCACAGAGGGAGAAGCUGAAUAUGAACUGGCAGUUAAAAAUUUGUAAAGAAAUCGACUUGCUCAUUUUCAUUGUAUGUUUUUGCUCUGAGGUAUUUUCCAUGAACUGUUUGCUGAUCCUUGCCCUGAGCCAGAUGAUGACCACUUGACUGUUGCCACCAAGCAGUGUGUCCCUGAGAAAGUGCCAGAGCCUUUACGUGGACCUGCCAAUGGCAAAACAAAACAAAACAACAAAAACACAGUAUAGUCAAUGCAAAAGAAGGAUUCUGGCCACGGAGGAGGCUGAAUGAGAUGAAAACAGAAAUUACUGGUGUAUACUACUGCUGAAUACAGAUGCUGAAAACAGAUGAAAAAGCAAUGAAAAGAAGAUGCCAAAAAGAACCCUGAAAACCUUAAGUAAUUGUUUUCAUAGCCAAGCAUGAGGACAGCUUGAUAUCAACACUGCACGAAUGUUUGGUUGGCCCUGUCAUACCUACAUAUAAUUGAUGACACGUCCCCUUUGAUUUGUAGAGCCUCCUGAAUAACACCCUUCCUUGAAGACCCAUUCAGCCUACCACUGAAACGGAAGAUCCUGUUGAGAGAAGCAGUACAGAGAAAGAAUGUACAGACAUUGAGAGCAGGUACAUUUUCAGUACAAAUGGAAUGCUGGCAAUAAGUGAUUGGAAGUACUCACAUUCUUCUUACCCCUUAGAAGUAUGAGAGAUCAAGAUUUUAAAAAUAUGAGCUUUAACUCAUGUUUUUAUUUUAAUAUUUUGAAUAGCAUAACAUUUCCAAUAUGGAAUUUUUAUACUUGUCAGGGAUUCAAAGCAGUGAAUUUUGAGACUCUGAGAUAUUUCCAGUGUCUUAUGUGCUAUUUAGACUUCUGCUAUUUACCUAAAGGAAUGCUGUACUUAGAUGUCAGUUUCUGAAUUAACAUAAGAGACUUCCUGUUAAUGUCAUUACACCGAUGACCUGAAGCCUGAGAUGUUCUAAUAAGCAGACUGUGCAUGCCUGCGUACGGGUGUGUGUGUGCGAGUGUGUUUGUGGCAUCUUUGAUUAUUAAAAACUAUAAUAAUUCAUUCAUAACUGGAAGAUAGUCUUUUAAAAUGGUGGUUUUGAGACUUUUUGGUAUAAAAGGUUUUAAAAAAAAAUAAUUGUGACCAACAUCAUGAACAUCAUUGAGGCUACCAACAUCAUUGGCUGUUUUCCAUUUCAAUACCCUUUUGAAAUCCUUAACUUGUAUUGUGAUGCUCAGAAAUAAUAUGCAGAAUUUUUAUUUGUGUCCUAAAAUAAAAGGUAAGUGGUUCUACCCUUUACAUAUCUUUCUGCCACUUUCUUUUGUGCUCUUUGUAUUCUAUUUUCCAGAUGUAUCCAUAUUGAUAAGGUUAGUUCUGGUUUAAUUCAUUUUACCCUUUUCGUUGUAUUCCCUUAUACCACUCUACCACAUUUAAUUAGACUCUCCUGUUGCUGAAAAAUGAAGAAAGAAAAAGAAAAAAAGAAAAAUAGGAUGGGUGUGGUGGCUGACACCUGUGAUCCUAGCAUUUUGGGAGGCUGAGGUGGGUGGAUCAUGAGGUCAGAAGAUCAAGACCAUCCUAGCCAACAUGGUGAAACCCCAUCUAUUAAAAUAUAAAAAAUUAGCUGGGCAUGGUGGCUUGUGCCCGUAGUCCCAGCUAUAUGGGAGGCUGAGACACAGAAAUCGCUUAAAACUGGGAGGCGGAGGUUGCAGUGAGCCAAAAUUGUGCCACUGCACUCCCGUCUGGUAGCAGAGCAAGACUCUGUCUCAAAAAGAGAAAAGGAAAAAACAAAGUCAGGUUAAAAGGGGCUUUUGUUUAAUCAGUCUGUAUCUGUGAAUAUUUACUAUAUGAGUUUAAGGCUGAGAAGUUCAGAAUGCAAGCAUGCACCGCCGUAUUUUACAAAUGCCCUUAGAAUUAUGACUCAUGAGCCUUUAGCCUAUGAAGUUAUGACAAUUCUUUUCUCUAAAUAAGUUUACUGUUCUCUUUAAAAAAAAAAAAAAAAAAACUGGGAAUAGCAAAUGACACUGUCUUAUUUGACCUCUUAUACAUCCUCGAAUGAAACUGCAACUUACUCAUGUCAAAAUUCAGAACCAGCGUUUUGAGCAAUAUAUAUAGUUUGUGAAUAUCUCGUGAUCAUGAGCCCUUGAUGAUGAAAUGGCCUUUCAAGUUUUACUUUUGCAUUUUUUGCUUUUUCUUGACUUGUCUUACAAAAUUUUAAAUUCAAAACUUCUAUUUCUACAGAAAUCAGGAAUAUAACUUUUAAAUAUAUUUCUGUCCUGUCUCACGGCAUUGAGAGCUCUCAAGAUCUAGUGUGGACCUAGACUUACUUUUACAUGGGAACAAUGAGGUUUGUUUCUUUGUUAUUGCUGUUGAGACAGAGUCUUGUUCUGUGAUGUGGUUCAGAGUGGAUAAGCUCUUAAAGCAGUCAUCUUUCCCGUGGUUCUUUGUGUGGGAGGUAAAGUGGCAGAUGAAUUUGGGCCUUGUUAUACGUAGGGCAGAGCACAUAGCUACAACUAAGUGAAACACCCAGCACCUUCCCCAAGAGUACUGGCCAGAGUAACACAUUAGUAUCUCUUGAGCUCUUCUCCACUGGCAGUUGGAAACUUUUUGCAAGAAUCCCUGUUUCUCAUGUGAUUCCUAUGUUUUGCUGACUUCUGGUGAUAGGGUGUUUUCUCCUAAACUGAGCAGUUCUGCCUGAAGAGCUAGAGAGAAUGUGUUGUGUUAAAAUGAAGUAAGUGCAGUAGUCCCCCAGUGAAUGCCUGAAAGCACAAAUAGUACUGAAUCACUCACUGUUUAUUUUCCUAUACUUACAUAUCUAUGUUAAAGUUUAAUUUAUAAAUUAGGUGCAGUAAGAAAUUCACAACUAAAAAUAAAAUGAAAAAUUAUAGUAAUAUGCUGUAAUAAAAAUUAUUUGAAUGUGGUCUCUUAAAAUGUAUGGCUCUCACCCUUUUUCCUGUGAUAAUGUGACACAAUGCCUGUGUCAUCAGAUGAAAUGAGGUGAAUGAUGUGGGCAUUGUCAUGUAGUGGUAGGCCACUAUUCACCCCCUGACUCUAAGUCAGAAAAAAGAUUAUCAGCUUGGAGUGUUCCUAGACCUUCAGGCCUUAAUAUGUUGAUGGCUGGAUGCAGGAGACCAUGUUGAUGACUAAUGGUGGGACAGCACAUGCAGUGUGAAUGCACUGGACAAAGGAAUGAUUCACAUCCUGGGAUGAUAGAGGACAACAGCUCAAGAUUUUACUGUGCUUCUCAGACUAGGAUACUAACACUUAGGACUUGUUUAUGUCUGGAGUUUUCAAUGUAAUCUGUUUGGAGUACAGUUAACUGUUAGUAGCUAUAACCACAUAAUUCAAAACUGCAGAUGUAAAAUCUGUGUUUGGACCUCGAGUCAUUUCUUGGUGUACAAUUCUUAAAUUCCUUAGAAUUUCCAAAGUGAUGUCUUUUGAUAUGCUAAUGAAUGAAGACUGGAAACUCCUAGAUAGAUUCAGGAUGGGAACUGGUCACCAUCCUGAAGACAUGACUGAUUAGAGGGCUGAGAUCUUCUGUCUCGCUCUGUGAACUCUGUGGAGUAGAGGAGGGCUGAAGGUUGUCAAUCACCAACAGCCAGUGAUUAAUUAGUGAUGCCUAUGAAUUGAAGCUUUCAUAAAGUCCCAAAGGGACUAGGCUUGGAGAGCUUCCAGAUCUCUGAAUACAUGGAGGUUCCUGGAGGGUGGUGUGUCCUGAGAGGGCAUGGAAUCUGUGCCACUAUCCCCAUACUUAGCACUAUGCAUCUCUUCAUCUGUACCUUUCGUAAUGUCAUUCAUAGUACGCUGGUAAGUGUAUUUGCCUGAGUACUUCAACCCAUUCCAGCAAUCCAAUUUAACCCAAAGAGGGAGUCCUGGGAACCCCAAUUUGAAGCUGACUGGUCAAAAGUUCUGGAGUUUCAGACUUAGGACCCACAUAGGUAGGCAGUCUCGUGGGACUGAGCCCUUUACCUGGGGAAUCUGAUGCUAUCUGCAGAGUUUGAGAACUGAGUUAGAUGACACCCAGUUUGUGUCAUCUGCAGAAGUGAUUGCUUGCUAGCUGGUGGGGAAAACCUCUCCACCUGUUUGCUCACAGAAGCCUUCUUUGUUGAUGAUUGUUGCUGUGGUGUGAGAGCAGAGAAAAACGUGGCAAGUGUGUCUUUUUCAACAUACAGCGGAUAAGGGAACUGCCUGCUGUAACUGCUGUAACUGCCCUCUCAUGCCUUGGUCCAGGAAUCAUGCUGUUUGACACUGUCACUUAUUCCACCUGUUCCGCUAACAAUACCAUUUUGAGCCAAUCUCAUAGGAUUUGGCUAGGAUGACGUGUAUACUGCAGUUCACUUGUAGAUAUCAAAUUUUGAUAAAUUUAUUCUUCUUUGUAUUUAAUAAAUAGAAAGGGAAGUAAGAGUUCUUACUGCAUUAAUUACAUGCCGAUAGAUAUAAUUUAUAUUAAUCUAAUAAGGUCCCAGGUAUGCUCUCAAAUGAAUGCUUUGUAACAAAGCAUAAGUACUAUACUUUAAAGAAAAAUGAUUUAAAUCAUGUAAACAACUGUGCAUACUUUUUUUUAAAAAAUAAAGAUCGAGUCUUGCUAUGUUU
This is a long non-coding RNA of Callithrix jacchus (white-tufted-ear marmoset), 12138 nucleotides long. RefSeq lists it as uncharacterized. NCBI's taxonomy places the organism in Eukaryota, Metazoa, Chordata, Mammalia, Primates, Cebidae. The record is from RefSeq and is a predicted model, not a curated record.